GCAGUGACUAUGACAGCAUUUUAAUAAGAUAAUAUACUCAUUUUAACACAGCCUUUAUUUUCUGUUUCAAAACAAAAUUUCCAGGAAACAAAAUACUUAACAAUGGUUGGGUACAAAUGAAAUAAAAAUCACAGUUUCAAAGAACCAAAAUCAGACAACUGCUUAAAGGCAGAUUGCUUAGGAAUUGCAUAAACUUCCUGAGUGGCUCCCAUGCUGCACUAGGUCUACAUGCUUAAUAUUCAUAUCAAACAAAUUACAGCUUUAAGUGAUUGAGCAUGACAGACCUUGAACAACUGCACUUUCCAAUCAAUCACUGUUUCUGCUGAGGGUAUGUUUUGGACCACAAACUUCAAUCUGAAAUCUUACAGUGGAGAAGAAAUGCAACUUU
RNAcentral lists this long non-coding RNA (388 nucleotides) under Bos taurus (domestic cattle). Its description in RNAcentral is "long non-coding RNA NONBTAT026776". The record is from RNAcentral. Lineage: Eukaryota; Metazoa; Chordata; Mammalia; Artiodactyla; Bovidae.